Molecule: long non-coding RNA, 937 nt
Filed under: Rattus norvegicus (Norway rat)
Lineage: Eukaryota; Metazoa; Chordata; Mammalia; Rodentia; Muridae
Description: long non-coding RNA NONRATT027604
Source: RNAcentral
CAACGCUGUUGUCCGCGUCUACCGCUGAGAAGGAAGACCUUGAGGAUACAGUUCAGCCCCUCGGCGGGGAGUGAGAAGGGAAAUGAAUAGAAAAUUGAUCUAUGAGAUUCCCGCUUCUUCUUGACUGUGGUGACUUGCAACUUCCUAGGAGCCAUAUCAAGAGGAAAAUGAGCAGAGCUCCCGCCACUAUGCCUGUCACUGCUCCUGCAACCAUGCCAAUGCUCUGCACAUCUGUUUCCUCGGAAGCACAGACAGAAGGAAAGUCAAACAGAAGCUCGGAGACACUCGAACUCCCAAGACAGAAGCCCCAGGCAGGAUGGCUCCCUGUGCCACACCCUGCUACCUUCUCAUAUUGUGACUUCACCUGGCCUUUCCAUAUUCUUGCAAGCCGAAGCUACUGAACCACUUGACUCGUUGGCUCAGAUUUUAGUGACUACGUCUGCCUUCGUGAUAAAAUGGCUGGGAAGAUUAUCGUGUCAUGUUCAAAGAAAAUUCCAACCCUCAGACCUCUGGGCACUGCUCUGCCCACUCCUUUCUCUAACUGCCCUUUUCUAUCAUCGGUAAAAGAAAAUAUAACCUACAGCCUACAAUUUGAUCUGUGACUGCUGGUGGCUCUGAGAGUCAGAGCUCAAGGUCAACAUUUUAUUUGCACAUAUACGUUCUCAUUUGGAUACAACACAUUCUAUAUAUUUAAGUGCCCACUUAAGCCAGCAGUUUUUGGUAUUGUAAGAGGCCAAUAGGAGCUCCUCUGAUUUCCAGUUUGCACCCCACGGGGCGGGGGGAAGGGAACAAUAAAGAACAGAUUCAAAUAAUUUCAGACCCUGGAUAUGUGGGGGCAAAAGUGGAUGACUGGCAGUUUGGAAGGAGAAUAGAGUUUGGGAAAGCAGGAUUGGGAAAAGGUGGUGCUUGGGUUGGAACACGAAAGACAGGACCCUCU